UUUUUUCUCGGCACCAACCUCUUUUUUAUCGUAUCCUUUUUUUUCAUUUCUAUAAUCUCCAGAUCGUGGGGAACACACGGAGGAGACGCCAGUUUCGCCCCAACUCGUUGCUCCCGACGCCCGAGCUCUACUCGCGCCUCGCCGCCGCCAUCGCCAUCUCCGAUGCACUUGCUGCCGCCGCCCUCUUGCUUUGCCGCUAUCGAGGGCCUUCAUGGCAUUGUCUCCCUCCUCCCCCUCCCCUCACCACCUCAGCUUGCCGUCGCCAUUAGCCGCAGCCGCAACCUUGGUUUUGAAGCUCCUCCUAUCGUAGCUCGCCGCCGCCAAGGGCCAUCCUAGUAUCAUCUCCCUCCCCCCUCCCAUCAGCCCCUCAGAUCGCCGUCGCUAUUGGCCGUGGCCGCAGUUUUGAAGGCCCAAUGGCGACUCUUCUUGCGACGCUAGCCGUUAGCUCGCCACCAGGCGCACCACCGCUGCUCCUGCCAACACUGCCGACAGAUCCAGGCGCCCCUCCUCCAGAUCCCCUUCUGUAGCUCCUCGUUUGCACCAUCUCCUCCUCCUUCCCCUUCCCCUUCUUGAUUUUAUUUGAUGAUUCGAGUGCAGGAUGUGUUCCCUGCGAGCGUUUGAUUGUCGGCCCAGGUCAUGACCAAGAGCUCCUCUUCAACUGCAGCAAGUUGAGCUUGUCUCGGCCGCCAAUGAUGGUUGUAUAACUGUUACCAAUACCAAUUGUGUUGUGUAAUAUAGUGUAUUCAUUAGGAGAUGCCUCUCGAGGGAUGUCGCUGUGCAGCCCCGAACCCGGCCUCCUACACGUGAGUCGCGACUCGUAAGCACCAACGCUACUCCGCGCGAGAACACCACCGUCUGCCGCUUCGCUGUGAAGGUCGCCGGCCCUCUCCCUCCCACACGCCGAUGAUCUGCCCUCCAUGGAGGAAGCCUCCAGCCAAAAACGUCCACGCUGGAAACUGACCAACGUCGUGCCUAGCAAAGGGACUGCUUGUGCCUGCAACCGGAAACAUAACAGCUGUGUCAACGCCGCUGGCCAUAACAGGUCCGCAAGUGUUGAAUUGUAUCAGCGUGUACCUAACCAGUAGAAAUAAUUAAGGAAUCAAAUAAAAUAAUAUUAUCUACUACAUUAUUGCUGUGAUUCUCGGUUUGGCCUUGCGUCUCAGUUGCUAGAGUAUGUACGCAUACUCCCUGGAGUAUGUAUUUAUACACUAUUUUAAAUAGGGUAUUAUUCUUUACAGACGUA
This is a long non-coding RNA of Sorghum bicolor (sorghum), 1243 nucleotides long. RefSeq lists it as uncharacterized. Lineage: Eukaryota; Viridiplantae; Streptophyta; Magnoliopsida; Poales; Poaceae. The record is from RefSeq and is a predicted model, not a curated record. The transcript is spliced from 2 exons.